UAGGGAAUCUUCGGCAAUGGGGGCAACCCUGACCGAGCAACGCCGCGUGAGUGAAGAAGGUUUUCGGAUCGUAAAGCUCUGUUGUAAGAGAAGAACGUGUGUGAGAGUGGAAAGUUCACACAGUGACGGUAACUUACCAGAAAGGGACGGCUAACUACGUGCCAGCAGCCGCGGUAAUACGUAGGUCCCGAGCGUUGUCCGGAUUUAUUGGGCGUAAAGCGAGCGCAGGCGGUUUAAUAAGUCUGAAGUUAAAGGCAGUGGCUUAACCAUUGUUCGCUUUGGAAACUGUUAAACUUGAGUGCAGAAGGGGAGAGUGGAAUUUCAUGUGUAGCGGUGAAAUGCCUAGAUAUAUGGGGGAACCCCGGUGGCGAAAGGGGCUCUCUGGUCUGUAACUGACGCUGAGGCUCGAAAGCGUGGGGAGCCAACAGG
RNAcentral lists this ribosomal RNA (429 nucleotides) under bacterium. Its description in RNAcentral is "partial 16S ribosomal RNA". It matches the Rfam family "Bacterial small subunit ribosomal RNA", at positions 355 to 776 of the family's 1533-position model. The record is from RNAcentral.